CCGGCGAUUUCCGAAUGGGGAAACCCAGUGUGAUUCGUCACACUAUCAUUAACUGAAUCCAUAGGUUAAUGAGGCGAACCGGGGGAACUGAAACAUCUAAGUACCCCGAGGAAAAGAAAUCAACCGAGAUUCCCCCAGUAGCGGCGAGCGAACGGGGAGGAGCCCAGAGCCUGAAUCAGUGUGUGUGUUAGUGGAAGCGUCUGGAAAGGCGCGCGAUACAGGGUGACAGCCCCGUACACAAAAAUGCACAUGCUGUGAGCUCGAUGAGUAGGGCGGGACACGUGGUAUCCUGUCUGAAUAUGGGGGGACCAUCCUCCAAGGCUAAAUACUCCUGACUGACCGAUAGUGAACCAGUACCGUGAGGGAAAGGCGAAAAGAACCCCGGCGAGGGGAGUGAAAAAGAACCUGAAACCGUGUACGUACAAGCAGUGGGAGCACGCUUAGGCGUGUGACUGCGUACCUUUUGUAUAAUGGGUCAGCGACUUAUAUUCUGUAGCAAGGUUAACCGAAUAGGGGAGCCGAAGGGAAACCGAGUCUUAACUGGGCGUUAAGUUGCAGGGUAUAGACCCGAAACCCGGUGAUCUAGCCAUGGGCAGGUUGAAGGUUGGGUAACACUAACUGGAGGACCGAACCGACUAAUGUUGAAAAAUUAGCGGAUGACUUGUGGCUGGGGGUGAAAGGCCAAUCAAACCGGGAGAUAGCUGGUUCUCCCCGAAAGCU
This 720-nucleotide ribosomal RNA is filed under the name Escherichia coli. Its description in RNAcentral is "partial 23S ribosomal RNA". It matches the Rfam family "Bacterial large subunit ribosomal RNA", at positions 104 to 867 of the family's 2925-position model. The record is from RNAcentral. Lineage: Bacteria; Pseudomonadati; Pseudomonadota; Gammaproteobacteria; Enterobacterales; Enterobacteriaceae.